This 20-nucleotide microRNA is filed under the name Canis lupus familiaris (dog). RNAcentral describes it as "cfa-miR-1199-5p". Lineage: Eukaryota; Metazoa; Chordata; Mammalia; Carnivora; Canidae. The record is from miRBase by way of RNAcentral.
CCUGAGCCCAGGCCGCGCAG